CGAAGUUCAGCGCUUUGGAGUGCUUUGCUGGCAUAGAAAAUUGGUAGCUCUGCCCUCUCUGGCUUUCGGACCAAUACCGAACUGACAGCAGUUCCAGAUACCGAAAGGUAUAGAUAGAGAAUCUCCCCCGGUAGUGGUUUUGACAGGAGGGGUGCUCUGCCCAUGUAGUCCUUUAAGUCUUGAAACGCUUUAUCACACUCGGCAGUCCAGAUGAUAUCC
RNAcentral lists this long non-coding RNA (219 nucleotides) under Prunus persica (peach). RNAcentral's name for it is "long non-coding RNA (PPER_LNC005776)". Lineage: Eukaryota; Viridiplantae; Streptophyta; Magnoliopsida; Rosales; Rosaceae. The record is from RNAcentral.